RNAcentral lists this ribosomal RNA (730 nucleotides) under uncultured archaeon. RNAcentral's name for it is "bacterial SSU rRNA". It matches the Rfam family "Archaeal small subunit ribosomal RNA", at positions 102 to 831 of the family's 1478-position model. The record is from RNAcentral.
GGAUAACCUACCCUUAGGACUGGGAUAACCCUGGGAAACUGGGGAUAAUACUAGAUAGGCAAUUUUUCCUGGAAUGGUUUUUUGUUUAAAUGUUUUUUCGCCUAAGGAUGGGUCUGCGGCCGAUUAGGUAGUUGGUUAGGUAACGGCUUACCAAGCCAUUGAUCGGUACGGGUUGUGAGAGCAAGAGCCCGGAGAUGGAACCUGAGACAAGGUUCCAGGCCCUACGGGGUGCAGCAGGCGCGAAACCUCCGCAAUGUGAGAAAUCGCGACGGGGGGAUCCCAAGUGCCAUUCUUAACGGGAUGGCUUUUCAUUAGUGUAAAGAGCUUUUGGAAUAAGGGCUGGGCAAGACCGGUGCCAGCCGCCGCGGUAACACCGGCAGCUCUAGUGGUAGCAGUUUUUAUUGGGCCUAAAGCGUCCGUAGCCGGUUUAAUAAGUCUCUGGUGAAAUCCUGUAGCUUAACUGUGGGAAUUGCUGGAGAUACUAUUAGACUUGAGACCGGGAGAGGUUAGAGGUACUCCCAGGGUAGAGGUGAAAUUCUGUAAUCCUGGGAGGACCGCCUGUUGCGAAGGCGUCUAACUGGAACGGUUCUGACGGUGAGGGACGAAAGUUAGGGGCGCGAACCGGAUUAGAUACCCGGGUAGUCCUAACUGUAAACGAUGCGGACUUGGUGUUGGGGUGGCUUUGAGCUGCUCCAGUGCCGAAAGGGAAGCUGUUAAGUCCGCCGCCUGG